This 1499-nucleotide long non-coding RNA is filed under the name Sorghum bicolor (sorghum). RNAcentral describes it as "long non-coding RNA (SBIC_LNC014865)". The record is from RNAcentral. Lineage: Eukaryota; Viridiplantae; Streptophyta; Magnoliopsida; Poales; Poaceae.
UUGCGCAAGUCUUUUCCGUUCCAUCUCCGGCGAGCACUAGAGAUGGAAGAGUAGGCCUCCGAAACGCGUCUCCGUCGUGCGCUUCAUCUGCUCGGGUGAGGAUGGGCGAUUACGUUUUUGGGGAGUGUCAUUGGCGACACGACUACUCGUUGGUGAUUCUGCGGCGGCGACUACACGACAACCUUCUCUGCACUGCACCGAGCGGAACGACUACAACGACAAAGCACCACCAUGGUCUUUCCCGGUGCGAGUGGUUCUACCGCAGGGUAUAAUCUCCUUCAUCCUAUUGUUAAUUUGACUGUUAAUAUCAUGAUGUUCCUAGGUAGCACUUUGCUAUUAUCCAACAUGUUUUGAUUGCAUGAUCAUGUGAAUAAUCGUUUACUGGUACCAUAUAUUACUUGUACUCAUCUUUGUUUCGAUUAUUGAGGAUACACUGCUCACAUCUGUGAUGAUUCACAUAAAUAAAAUGAUAUUAGUUGUAUGUUCUGUCUCUUUAAUUUGCUUCUGCAAAUUGAUAGUCAUCCUUUUAAUAUUUGUCAUGAAUUGUUUUUCUCAAAUAAUUCAUGUCGUAAUUAUCCGUUUUAUUGCGUCAUUUUUAUGGAUUAAAAUGAAUGUGAAAAUGCCUUAUAUUUCAACAAUCUGCCUUAUAUUUUAACAUAUGUGUGGUGGCUUAGAGUCUGUCAAUCAUAUUUUUUCCGCUCGUUUUGUUUGGAGUAUCAUAAAGGAGGUGUUCAGUUUGAAUCAUUUUCCUAGAUCACUAAAAGAAUUCUCGGAAACCUGGCUGCAGGCCAAGGGGCCCUUGCCUAUCCGUUUAAUCGUGUUCUUGUUUGCAGGCUUCACCUGGGCGAUGUAGGCCACGAGGAACAAAGAUGGCUAUUGAAAAAAGACUACCUAAAGCUCAUGCUGACAUGAUCUAUGUCGUUUUAUGCAGAUAAGGGAGCACAUUAUGCAGACCAAGUGUAACAUCAUGGAGUGGAUGAAGACCUUCAAGCCUAGUGUAGUUACAGCUUCGGACGUCUAUGAGUUUUAUAAAGCUGUAAUAGUUCUAGUACUUUUUUUCUCUCGUUGAAGACAGGUAUCUCCUGUACCGUAAUGGUUACAUUGCUUUCUUAAAGCAGAGGAAACUCCCUUUUUUUUUAAAAAAAAACAUUCAGUUGUCCGCCUCAUUUCAGUCAUGUAGCAAAAGCCUAGCUAUGACUCUACAUUCAUCAACCUUGAUAUGAACAUAUACGUGGAUCAAACAGUCAAACCACACAAGGAAGUAAACAGGCGUGGGAAUAGAGAAAGAAUGUGGAUCAAGUAAAGAAGGACCUUCUCUGUUCCUUUAUCUAAAACAAAGUAAAGCAUUGUCUUGCAGACUACGAAACUAGCACUCUAGCACUACAUCAAAAUAGAUCGCUGCACAACUAGUCACCUCUAUCCUUCAAAUUAACGAGAUCAUGAACACUAAAGACUCAUGUCCCUCCAUACUUUUCCCUUUAUUCUUUGAUAUAUCCCUC